GGUUAAGCGACUAAGCGUACACGGUGGAUGCCCUGGCAGUCAGAGGCGAUGAAGGACGUGCUAAUCUGCGAAAAGCGUCGGUAAGGUGAUAUGAACCGUUAUAACCGGCGAUGUCCGAAUGGGGAAACCCAGUGCAAUUCGUUGCACUAUCGUUAACUGAAUACAUAGGUUAACGAGGCGAACCGGGGGAACUGAAACAUCUAAGUACCCCGAGGAAAAGAAAUCAACCGAGAUUCCCCCAGUAGCGGCGAGCGAACGGGGAGCAGCCCAGAGUCUGAAUCAGCUUGUGUGUUAGUGGAACGGUCUGGAAAGUCCGACGGUACAGGGUGAUAGUCCCGUACACCAAAAUGCACAGGCUGUGAACUCGAAGAGUAGGGCGGGACACGUGGUAUCCUGUCUGAAUAUGGGGGGGACCAUCCUCCAAGGCUAAAUACUCCUGACUGACCGAUAGUGAACCAGUACCGUGAGGGAAAGGCGAAAAGAACCCCGGCGAGGGGAGUGAAAAAGAACCUGAAACCGUGUACGUACAAGCAGUGGGAGCACCUUCGGGUGUGACUGCGUACCUUUUGUAUAAUGGGUCAGCGACUUAUAUUCUGUAGCAAGGUUAACCGUAUAGGGGAGCCGCAGGGAAACCGAGUCUUAACUGGGCGUUAAGUUGCAGGGUAUAGACCCGAAACCCGGUGAUCUAGCCAUGGGCAGGUUGAAGGUUGGGUAACACUAACUGGAGGACCGAACCGACUAAUGUUGAAAAAUUAGCGGAUGACUUGUGGCUGGGGGUGAAAGGCCAAUCAAACCGGGAGAUAGCUGGUUCUCCCCGAAAGCUAUUUAGGUAGCGCCUCGUGAAUUCAUCUUCGGGGGUAGAGCACUGUUUCGGCUAGGGGGUCAUCCCGACUUACCAACCCGAUGCAAACUACGAAUACCGAAGAAUGUUAUCACGGGAGACACACGGCGGGUGCUAACGUCCGUCGUGAAGAGGGAAACAACCCAGACCGCCAGCUAAGGUCCCAAAGUCAUGGUUAAGUGGGAAACGAUGUGGGAAGGCACAGACAGCCAGGAUGUUGGCUUAGAAGCAGCCAUCAUUUAAAGAAAGCGUAAUAGCUCACUGGUCGAGUCGGCCUGCGCGGAAGAUGUAACGGGGCUAAACCAUGCACCGAAGCUGCGGCAGCGACACUAUGUGUUGUUGGGUAGGGGAGCGUUCUGUAAGCCUGCGAAGGUGACCUGUGAGGGUUGCUGGAGGUAUCAGAAGUGCGAAUGCUGACAUAAGUAACGAUAAAGCGGGUGAAAAGCCCGCUCGCCGGAAGACCAAGGGUUCCUGUCCAACGUUAAUCGGGGCAGGGUGAGUCGACCCCUAAGGCGAGGCCGAAAGGCGUAGUCGAUGGGAAACAGGUUAAUAUUCCUGUACUUGGUGUUACUGCGAAGGGGGGACGGAGAAGGCUAUGUUAGCCGGGCGACGGUUGUCCCGGUUUAAGCAUGUAGGCUGGUUGUCCAGGCAAAUCCGGAUAAUCAAGGCUGAGGUGUGAUGACGAGGUACUACGGUGCUGAAGUAACAAAUGCCCUGCUUCCAGGAAAAGCCUCUAAGCAUCAGGUAACAUCAAAUCGUACCCCAAACCGACACAGGUGGUCAGGUAGAGAAUACCAAGGCGCUUGAGAGAACUCGGGUGAAGGAACUAGGCAAAAUGGUGCCGUAACUUCGGGAGAAGGCACGCUGGUGUGUAGGUGAAGUCCCUGCGGAUGGAGCUGAGACCAGUCGAAGAUACCAGCUGGCUGCAACUGUUUAUUAAAAACACAGCACUGUGCAAACACGAAAGUGGACGUAUACGGUGUGACGCCUGCCCGGUGCCGGAAGGUUAAUUGAUGGGGUUAUCCGUAAGGAGAAGCUCUUGAUCGAAGCCCCGGUAAACGGCGGCCGUAACUAUAACGGUCCUAAGGUAGCGAAAUUCCUUGUCGGGUAAGUUCCGACCUGCACGAAUGGCGUAAUGAUGGCCAGGCUGUCUCCACCCGAGACUCAGUGAAAUUGAACUCGCUGUGAAGAUGCAGUGUACCCGCGGCAAGACGGAAAGACCCCGUGAACCUUUACUAUAGCUUGACACUGAACAUUGAGCCUUGAUGUGUAGGAUAGGUGGGAGGCUUUGAAGCGUGGACGCCAGUCUGCGUGGAGCCAACCUUGAAAUACCACCCUUUAAUGUUUGAUGUUCUAACGUUGGCCCCUGACCGGGGUUGCGGACAGUGUCUGGUGGGUAGUUUGACUGGGGCGGUCUCCUCCCAAAGCGUAACGGAGGAGCACGAAGGUUAGCUAAUCCUGGUCGGACAUCAGGAGGUUAGUGCAAUGGCAUAAGCUAGCUUGACUGCGAGCGUGACGGCGCGAGCAGGUGCGAAAGCAGGUCAUAGUGAUCCGGUGGUUCUGAAUGGAAGGGCCAUCGCUCAACGGAUAAAAGGUACUCCGGGGAUAACAGGCUGAUACCGCCCAAGAGUUCAUAUCGACGGCGGUGUUUGGCACCUCGAUGUCGGCUCAUCACAUCCUGGGGCUGAAGUAGGUCCCAAGGGUAUGGCUGUUCGCCAUUUAAAGUGGUACGCGAGCUGGGUUUAGAACGUCGUGAGACAGUUCGGUCCCUAUCUGCCGUGGGCGCUGGAGAAUUGAGGGGGGCUGCUCCUAGUACGAGAGGACCGGAGUGGACGCAUCACUGGUGUUCGGGUUGUCAUGCCAAUGGCACUGCCCGGUAGCUAAAUGCGGAAGAGAUAAGUGCUGAAAGCAUCUAAGCACGAAACUUGCCCCGAGAUGAGUUCUCCCUGAGACUUUAAGUCUCCUGAAGGAACGUUAAAGACGAUGACGUUGAUAGGCCGGGUGUGUAAGCGCAGCGAUGCGUUGAGCUAACCGGUACUAAUGAACCGUGAGGCUUAACCUU
This 2903-nucleotide ribosomal RNA is filed under the name Klebsiella pneumoniae. RNAcentral describes it as "23S ribosomal RNA". It matches the Rfam family "Bacterial large subunit ribosomal RNA". Lineage: Bacteria; Pseudomonadati; Pseudomonadota; Gammaproteobacteria; Enterobacterales; Enterobacteriaceae. The record is from RNAcentral.